Long non-coding RNA from Amphimedon queenslandica, 396 nucleotides. RefSeq lists it as uncharacterized. The record is from RefSeq and is a predicted model, not a curated record. Lineage: Eukaryota; Metazoa; Porifera; Demospongiae; Haplosclerida; Niphatidae. The transcript is spliced from 3 exons.
UUGGUGAACUUAUUAAUGGAUUGAUAACUCCUAAUCCAUUGGUUCAUGGGAAAGAGUUUCAGUUGCAAGGAACUUUACACAUUAAGAAAACGAUACAAUGGGGUAUACUGCAUUUCACACUGACACAUCCUUUCAAGAAUUAUAUCAAUAUUACUUUCAUGGAUGAGAAGUUCAAUUUAUGCGACUACCUUGAUGAUUUAUGCAAGGUAUAUUGUCCUAUACCACCAGGGACAUAUCAUGCUGAUGCAGUAGGAUUAAUACCAAGCAUCUUAUGGCCAGGUAGGUAUUAUGGGAAAGCUACUGCACACAAUGAGAAAGGAGAGGAAAUGAUGUGUGUAAGCACUGAACUUAAUGUCAAAUAACUUGAAUAAAAGUAGUGAAAGUAGAUAAGUGCAA